Molecule: small RNA, 32 nt
Filed under: Arabidopsis thaliana (thale cress)
Lineage: Eukaryota; Viridiplantae; Streptophyta; Magnoliopsida; Brassicales; Brassicaceae
Description: ATSL190670
Source: RNAcentral
AAUUUUCAAAACAAAAGUAAUAGGACUAAGCA